UGACCUAUAGCUCAACGGGUUAGAGUGCCAGUCUUGUAAGCUGGAGGUUCCAGCCUUGCCUGCCGGCAGGCAGGGUUCAAGUCCUGGUAGGUCGA
RNAcentral lists this transfer RNA (95 nucleotides) under Roseivirga sp. 4D4. RNAcentral's name for it is "Fabibacter sp. 4D4 tRNA-Thr". It matches the Rfam family "tRNA". From Rfam's summary of the family: Transfer RNA (tRNA) molecules are approximately 80 nucleotides in length. Their secondary structure includes four short double-helical elements and three loops (D, anti-codon, and T loops). Further hydrogen bonds mediate the characteristic L-shaped molecular structure. tRNAs have two regions of fundamental functional importance: the anti-codon, which is responsible for specific mRNA codon recognition, and the 3' end, to which the tRNAs corresponding amino acid is attached (by aminoacyl-tRNA synthetases). tRNAs cope with the degeneracy of the genetic code in two manners: having more than one tRNA (with a specific anti-codon) for a particular amino acid; and 'wobble' base-pairing, i.e. permitting non-standard base-pairing at the 3rd anti-codon position. Lineage: Bacteria; Pseudomonadati; Bacteroidota; Cytophagia; Cytophagales; Roseivirgaceae. The record is from RNAcentral.